This 253-nucleotide ribosomal RNA is filed under the name uncultured bacterium. RNAcentral's name for it is "partial 16S ribosomal RNA". It matches the Rfam family "Bacterial small subunit ribosomal RNA", at positions 524 to 776 of the family's 1533-position model. The record is from RNAcentral.
UACGGAGGGUGCAAGCGUUGCUCGGAAUUAUUGGGCGUAAAGGGUAUGUAGGUGGUCUCAUUUGUCUGGGGUGAAAGCCUUGGGCUUAACUCAAGAAGUGCCCCAGAAACGGUGAGACUAGAGUCCUGGAGAGGGUCGUGGAAUUCCCGGUGUAGCGGUGAAAUGCGUAGAGAUCGGGAGGAACACCAGAGGCGAAAGCGGCGACCUGGACAGGAACUGACACUCAACUACGAAAGCGUGGGGAGCAAACAGG